GACGAACGCUGGCGGCGUGCUUAACACAUGCAAGUCGAACGCGCCUGUCCUCUGGGUUUCUGGGGGGUGGGUGAGUGGCGAACGGGUGAGUAACACGUGAGUAACCUGCCCCCUUCUUCGGGAUAACGGUCUGAAAGGGCUGCUAAUACCGGGUAUUCACUGGUCUCCGCAUGGGGUCUGGUGGAAAGGUUUUUUUCUGGUGGGGGAUGGGCUCGCGGCCUAUCAGCUUGUUGGUGGGGUGAUGGCCCACCAAGGCUUUGACGGGUAGCCGGCCUGAGAGGGUGACCGGUCACAUUGGGACUGAGAUACGGCCCAGACUCCUACGGGAGGCAGCAGUGGGGAAUAUUGCACAAUGGGCGCAAGCCUGAUGCAGCGACGCCGCGUGAGGGAUGGAGGCCUUCGGGUUGUGAACCUCUUUCGCCCGUGGUCAAGCUGCGACGUGGGUCGUGGUGAGGGUAGUGGGUAAAGAAGCGCCGGCUAACUACGUG
RNAcentral lists this ribosomal RNA (488 nucleotides) under uncultured bacterium. RNAcentral describes it as "partial 16S ribosomal RNA". It matches the Rfam family "Bacterial small subunit ribosomal RNA", at positions 28 to 507 of the family's 1533-position model. The record is from RNAcentral.